Molecule: ribosomal RNA, 274 nt
Filed under: uncultured bacterium
Lineage: Bacteria
Description: partial 16S ribosomal RNA
Rfam family: Bacterial small subunit ribosomal RNA
Source: RNAcentral
AUACGGAGGGUGCAAGCGUUACUGGGAAUCACUGGGCGUAAAGCGCGCGCAGGCGGGCUGAUAAGUUGGAUGUGAAAGCCUACGGCUCAACCGUAGAACUGCAUCCAAAACUGUCAGUCUAGAGUGUGGGAGAGGAAGAUGGAAUUAGUUGUGUAGGGGUAAAAUCCGUAGAGAUAACUAGGAAUACCAAAAGCGAAGGCAAUCUUCUGGAACACUACUGACGCUGAGGCGCGAAGGCGUGGGGAGCAAACAGGAUUAGAAACCCCGGUAGUCC